GGAUCCAGACCUUUAUUCUGGCUCAGGAUGAACGCUAGCUACAGGCCUAACACAUGCAAGUCGAGGGGAAACGGCAGCUUAGCUUGCUAAGCUGGACGUCGACCGGCGCACGGGUGAGUAACGCGUAUCCAACCUGCCCCACGGUGAGGGAUAACCCGCGGAAACGCGGCCUAAUACCUCAUGGUCUCCGAGUUUGCCAUCAACCUUGGAGUAAAGAUUCAUUGCCGUGGGAUGGGGAUGCGUCUGAUUAGCUUGUUGGCGGGGCAACGGCCCACCAAGGCAACGAUCAGUAGGGGUUCUGAGAGGAAAGCCCCCCACAUUGGAACUGAGGCACGGUCCAAACUCCUACGGGAGGCAGCAGUGAGGAAUAUUGGUCAAUGGGCGAGAGCCUGAACCAGCCAAGUAGCGUGCAGGAAGACGGCCCUAUGGGUUGUAAACUGCUUUUAUGCGGGGAUAAAGCGGGCGACGUGUCGCCCUUUGCAGGUACCGCAUGAAUAAGGACCGGCUAAUUCCGUGCCAGCAGCCGCGGUAAUACGGAAGGUCCGGGCGUUAUCCGGAUUUAUUGGGUUUAAAGGGAGCGCAGGCCGGGUAUUAAGCGUGUUGUGAAAUGUAGGCGCCCAACGUCUGCACCGCAGCGCGAACUGGCGCCCUUGAGUACGCACGACGUUGGCGGAAUUCGCCGUGUAGCGGUGAAAUGCUUAGAUAUGGCGAAGAACUCCGAUUGCGAAGGCAGCUGACGGGAGCGCUACUGACGCUCAUGCUCGAAAGCGCGGGUAUCGAACAGGAUUAGAUACCCUGGUAGUCCGCGCGGUAAACGAUGGAUGCCCGCUAUUUGCGCAUUAGCGCAAGUGGCCAAGUGAAAACGUUAAGCAUCCCACCUGGGGAGUACGCCGGCAACGGUGCAACUCAAAGGAAUUGACGG
This 922-nucleotide ribosomal RNA is filed under the name uncultured Bacteroidota bacterium. Its description in RNAcentral is "bacterial SSU rRNA". It matches the Rfam family "Bacterial small subunit ribosomal RNA", at positions 1 to 916 of the family's 1533-position model. The record is from RNAcentral. Lineage: Bacteria; Pseudomonadati; Bacteroidota.